RNAcentral lists this long non-coding RNA (399 nucleotides) under Serinus canaria (Common canary). Its description in RNAcentral is "lncRNA (ENSSCAG00000002399.1)". The record is from RNAcentral. Lineage: Eukaryota; Metazoa; Chordata; Aves; Passeriformes; Fringillidae.
GGUGUACAUUAUCCCUUUGCUAUUGUGAUGUCCUGUGUAACUACCACUCACUCCUUCAAUUUGUUCCAGAUCCAUCUCCAAAGCUUCCUGUGCCUUCUGGCAGCAGCACAUGAAGAUGACAGUGGCGUGUGCUCCCUUCCCUUCUCAGUCCAGCCAUGCACAGCAGUGGGUUCCAGAGACACAUUUUCUCUGUUCCUCUCCUGGCUGGUGGUAGAACAGGCUGGAUAAUCUGCAUGCAAGCACAAAAAAAGGUAAGGAUUGAAAAAUAUUUUCCCUUUCACAUCAUCCUGCAUUGAAUACCCCACCCUGAUUUAUAAAGUGUAUUAUGCUAACACCUAAGGAGAACUGGUUUUAGCAGUGUCUGAAGACAAGGGACAUGGGCACAUUCCCUGUUCUAAA